This 796-nucleotide ribosomal RNA is filed under the name uncultured bacterium. Its description in RNAcentral is "bacterial SSU rRNA". It matches the Rfam family "Bacterial small subunit ribosomal RNA", at positions 33 to 796 of the family's 1533-position model. The record is from RNAcentral.
ACGCUGGCGGCGUGCCUAAUACAUGCAAGUCGAGCGAGCGGAACCAGCAGAAUCACUUCGGUGAGGACGCUGGGAAAGUGAGCGGCGGAUGGGUGAGUAACACGUGGGGAACCUGCCCUUAAGUCUGGGAUACCACUUGGAAACAGGUGCUAAUACCGGAUAAGAAAGCAGUUCGCAUGAACAGCUUUUAAAAGGCGGCGCAAGCUGUCGCUAAAGGACGGACCCGCGGUGCAUUAGCUAGUUGGUAAGGUAACGGCCUACCAAGGCAGUGAUGCAUAGCCGAGUUGAGAGACUGAUCGGCCACAUUGGGACUGAGACACGGCCCAAACUCCUACGGGAGGCAGCAGUAGGGAAUCUUCCACAAUGGACGCAAGUCUGAUGGAGCAACGCCGCGUGAGUGAAGAAGGUUUUCGGACCGUAAAGCUCUGUUGUUGGCGAAGAAGGAUAGAGGUAGUAACUGGCCUUUAUUUGACGGUAAUCAACCAGAAAGUCACGGCUAACUACGUGCCAGCAGCCGCGGUAAUACGUAGGUGGCAAGCGUUGUCCGGAUUUAUUGGGCGUAAAGCGAGCGCAGGCGGAAGAAUAAGUCUGAUGUGAAAGCCCUCGGCUUAACCGAGGAAUUGCAUCGGAAACUGUUUUUCUUGAGUGCAGAAGAGGAGAGUAGAACUCCAUGUGUAGCGGUGGAAUGCGUAGAUAUAUGGAAGAAUACCAGUGGCGAAGGCGGCUCUCUGGUCUGCAACUGACGCUGAGGCUCGAAAGCAUGGGUAGCGAACAGGAUUAGAUACCCUGGUAGUCC